UUAGUAAUGUCUGGGAAACUGCCCGAUGGAGGGGGAUAACUACUGGAAACGGUAGCUAAUACCGCAUAACGUCGCAAGACCAAAGUGGGGGACCUUCGGGCCUCAUGCCAUCAGAUGUGCCCAGAUGGGAUUAGCUAGUAGGUGAGGUAAUGGCUCACCUAGGCGACGAUCCCUAGCUGGUCUGGGAGGAUGACCAGCCACACUGGAACUGAGACACGGUCCAGACUCCUACGGGAGGCAGCAGUGGGGAAUAUUGCACAAUGGGCGCAAGCCUGAUGCAGCCAUGCCGCGUGUAUGAAGAAGGCCUUCGGGUUGUAAAGUACUUUCAGCGAGGAGGAAGGCAUUAAGGUUAAUAACCUUGGUGAUUGACGUUACUCGCAGAAGAAGCACCGGCUAACUCCGUGCCAGCAGCCGCGGUAAUACGGAGGGUGCAAGCGUUAAUCGGAAUUACUGGGCGUAAAGCGCACGCAGGCGGUCUGUCAAAGUCGGAUGUGAAAUCCCCGGG
RNAcentral lists this ribosomal RNA (505 nucleotides) under uncultured bacterium. RNAcentral's name for it is "bacterial SSU rRNA". It matches the Rfam family "Bacterial small subunit ribosomal RNA", at positions 107 to 607 of the family's 1533-position model. The record is from RNAcentral.